GUGCCAGCCGCCGCGGUAAUACGUAGGGCGCAAGCGUUAUCCGGAAUUAUUGGGCGUAAAGAGCUCGUAGGCGGUCUGUCGCGUCGGACGUGAAAACCCAGGGCUCAACCCUGGGCCUGCGUUCGAUACGGGCAGACUAGAGUUCGGUAGGGGAGACUGGAAUUCCUGGUGUAGCGGUGAAAUGCGCAGAUAUCAGGAGGAACACCGGUGGCGAAGGCGGGUCUCUGGGACGGUACUGACGCUGAGGCGCGAAAGCGUGGGGAGCAAACAGGAUUAGAUACCCUGGUAGUCC
Molecule: ribosomal RNA, 292 nt
Filed under: uncultured bacterium
Lineage: Bacteria
Description: partial 16S ribosomal RNA
Rfam family: Bacterial small subunit ribosomal RNA
Source: RNAcentral